Molecule: ribosomal RNA, 474 nt
Filed under: Triticum aestivum (bread wheat)
Lineage: Eukaryota; Viridiplantae; Streptophyta; Magnoliopsida; Poales; Poaceae
Description: partial small subunit ribosomal RNA
Source: RNAcentral
AUGGCGACGUCUUCAAGCUCCACCUCCUUCCCCUUGUCACCAUUUGUGCACAGCGUCACCGAGAAGCUCACGAGAGGGAACGAGACGCUAUGGCGCGCAACUGUGCUCUCGGCGAUCAGAGGGGCACAGCUGCAGGGCUACCUCGACAUCGACCAGGUAGUGCCUCCUCGGAACGUUGAAGUUACCUCUGACGAUGGCAAGACCAAGUCGAAGGCACCCAACCUGGAGUUCUCCGCGUGGUACGCGAAGGAUCAGCAGGUGUUCUCCUACUUGUUGUCCUCCCUGCCGCGCGAGAUGGCCAUCCAAGUGGCAACCUGCCACACCGCCGCCGAGCUCUGGAACACGGUGCAGGGCAUGCUGACCUCGCACACCCGCGCCCGCACCGUCAACGUCAGAAUUGCACUGGCGAACCUUCAGAAGGGCAACUCCAACAUCACUGAAUAUGUUGGUAAGAUUAGAACUUUAUGUGAUUAA